This 397-nucleotide ribosomal RNA is filed under the name uncultured bacterium. Its description in RNAcentral is "partial 16S ribosomal RNA". It matches the Rfam family "Bacterial small subunit ribosomal RNA", at positions 523 to 918 of the family's 1533-position model. The record is from RNAcentral.
AUACGUAGGUGGCAAGCGUUGUCCGGAAUUAUUGGGCGUAAAGCGCGCGCAGGUGGUUCCUUAAGUCUGAUGUGAAAGCCCCCGGCUCAACCGGGGAGGGUCAUUGGAAACUGGGGAACUUGAGUGCAGAAGAGGAUAGUGGAAUUCCAAGUGUAGCGGUGAAAUGCGUAGAGAUUUGGAGGAACACCGGUGGCGAAGGCGACUGUCUGGUCUGUAACUGACACUGAGGCGCGAAAGCGUGGGGAGCAAACAGGAUUAGAUACCCUGGUAGUCCACGCCGUAAACGAUGAGUGCUAAGUGUUGGGGGGUUUCCGCCCCUCAGUGCUGCAGCUAACGCAUUAAGCACUCCGCCUGGGGAGUACGGUCGCAAGACUGAAACUCAAAGGAAUUGACGGGG